RNAcentral lists this ribosomal RNA (253 nucleotides) under uncultured bacterium. RNAcentral describes it as "partial 16S ribosomal RNA". It matches the Rfam family "Bacterial small subunit ribosomal RNA", at positions 524 to 776 of the family's 1533-position model. The record is from RNAcentral. RNAcentral also lists the same sequence under 1 other name.
UACAGAGGGGGCGAGCGUUGUUCGGAAUUACUGGGCGUAAAGGGCGCGUAGGCGGCCUCUUAAGUCGAACGUGAAAUCCCCGGGCUCAACCCGGGAACUGCGUCCGAUACUGGGGGGCUUGAAUCCGGGAGAGGGAUGUGGAAUUCCAGGUGUAGCGGUGAAAUGCGUAGAUAUCUGGAGGAACACCGGUGGCGAGGGCGGCAUCCUGGACCGGUAUUGACGCUGAGGCGCGAAAGCCAGGGGAGCAAACGGG